Long non-coding RNA from Gossypium arboreum, 245 nucleotides. RefSeq lists it as uncharacterized. Lineage: Eukaryota; Viridiplantae; Streptophyta; Magnoliopsida; Malvales; Malvaceae. The transcript is spliced from 2 exons. The record is from RefSeq and is a predicted model, not a curated record.
GCAGGCAGUUCGUGUGUGGAUCUCGUCAGCAUAUCGUCGCAAACAGGAAAUCCCCAACCAUAGUGGGCUUGGAGCUGUGAGGGAAUUCGGAGUGGCCACCCGUUCUGAAAGUUUGAUUUUCUUCUGGUGAAUUGGACAUCCUUUUAUUUACGUUUGAAGUUUUGGGUUUUAAAUGUAAUAAGACCGCUUAAUUAUUUUUGAUGGUUUUAAUAUGUAUUACUAAGAUAGGUAUUACUUAUUUUAAA